Molecule: long non-coding RNA, 1525 nt
Organism: Octopus bimaculoides (California two-spot octopus)
Lineage: Eukaryota; Metazoa; Mollusca; Cephalopoda; Octopoda; Octopodidae
Source: RefSeq, a predicted model, not a curated record
UGUAAAGCUGCAUAUCGUCACAUUGCAGUUCCUAUUACACUAGAUUUUCCUUAUAUUAAGCACAGAUCUCGACAUUGCUCGAGGCCGAAACUGUUAACUUUAUUAACCCUUCAUUAAGGAUAAUAUUGGUGUUCAUACAGUGAAUAGAAAACGUAUUGCAGAGUGCAGUUCACUGGGAUUGUUUUUUACGCCUGUGGUUUCUUAACAUCGCACAACAAACAUAUUAAAAUUGUAAUUUUUAGCAAAAUGUGAAUAAUACCAACUAUAAAUCUAAACAAAGUAUUGAAAACUGUGCUUUUGAUAUUCAAUAUUAAAUUAAUUAAGGAAAUAACUAGGUCCAGAAGUGUUUCGAAUUUCGAAACGACUAGUUUUAGCAGUUUCACUUUGUGACGUUAUUGCUUUUCACUUCAGUUUCUCAACCAAAUAAACCAGCUCCAUUGUUGUUGCUGCUAUUGUAGUCCCUGUUGAUUUUAUUUAACCUCAUCCCAGCGAUGUUCGAACAAAUCUGUAAUCAAAGAUGCCUCAGUUAUGCUCAUGUUAUCUUUGUUCAGAUUUAAUGAAUCUAGGACCAGAUUAUCCAAUAUUUUCUUCUUUUGAAGAUAGGAUAGAAUUUGAGGGAAGUUUGACAGCUGUUUCUAGCCGGUUCAACAAACAUAAAGACACCAUUGCUGGAUUGUUUAACUCAAUGGUGGUAAGCUAUCGAGCAGCAGCGAAGACAGUAUCUGAUGACCACUUCAUUAACUUUCUAUGUUAAAGAACUCGAUAUAUCAAAGUAAAAGUUGGCAAGGGUAAAUCUUUAAAUCCAUUUUAAGUAUUAAAAAGAACAACAACAACAACAACAAGAAUAAAAGCCAAAAGAAGAAAAGAAAAGAGUGCGAUGGAACGGAAAGGGAUUGGAGUGUAAAGUGAAAGAAAGAAUUGAAGACAGAGAGGACAGAAGACGCUGAACGAGGAAAUAAGAGAGAAAGAUCGAAAGAGAGAAAAAGAGAAAUGAAGAAGGGGUGAAAGAAAGAAACAAAGAAAGAAGACCAUAAGCAUACGUAUUUAACUCACUCCACUGCAAUUGAAGAAAUAAAUUGGGACAGAUGGAAGCAGAGAACGGUAAAAUACUAAAGAAAUUCAAAGAUAGUGGAAAGAAAUCUUUAAAGAAAAUACUGAGCAAAAGAAGAAGGAAAAGAAGGAAACAGUGGUCUUAGAUUCUUCAGAGGACUUGAUCUUGAAAGAGCUGUAAUGUUCUUUAAGAAGAAAUUGUGAAGCUGGUAUGAGGAUCUAAGAAACUGUGUUCGCGAUUAAGGAGAAGACAGUUAAACAAUUGUGGGCAUCUAGGAAAAAAAAUAGACAGGAAGUUUACAAUGAGCAGUGUUACCUUGGAAACAAAAGAAGAGACUACAAAUCGAGAUGUAAGCAUUGAGAAUUUAAAUUUAAAGCAAUGUUGUUGAAAUGAGAUGAGUUUUCAAGAAAUUUUCAUGCGUUAACAACGAUUUUCGAGUAGCCAUAUUAGUAAUUUAGCUAUCUGAGAAAAAUC